GUCUACAGCCAUGCCACCCUGAACGUGCCCGAUCUUGUCUGAUCUCGGAAGCUAAGCAGGGUCGGGCCUGGUUAGUACUUGGAUGGGAGACCACCUAGGAAAAUCAGGUGCUGUAGGCA
This 119-nucleotide ribosomal RNA is filed under the name Pteropus alecto (black flying fox). The record is from RNAcentral. Lineage: Eukaryota; Metazoa; Chordata; Mammalia; Chiroptera; Pteropodidae.